UGGGGAAUAUUGCACAAUGGGCGCAAGCCUGAUGCAGCGACGCCGCGUGCGGGAUGACGGCCUUCGGGUUGUAAACCGCUUUUGAUCGGGAGCAAGCCUUCGGGUGAGUGUACCUUUCGAAUAAGCACCGGCUAACUACGUGCCAGCAGCCGCGGUAAUACGUAGGGUGCAAGCGUUAUCCGGAAUUAUUGGGCGUAAAGGGCUCGUAGGCGGUUCGUCGCGUCCGGUGUGAAAGUCCAUCGCUUAACGGUGGAUCUGCGCCGGGUACGGGCGGGCUGGAGUGCGGUAGGGGAGACUGGAAUUCCCGGUGUAACGGUGGAAUGUGUAGAUAUCGGGAAGAACACCAAUGGCGAAGGCAGGUCUCUGGGCCGUUACUGACGCUGAGGAGCGAAAGCGUGGGGAGCGAACAGGAUUAGAUACCCUGGUAGUCCACGCCGUAAACGGUGGAUGCUGGAUGUGGGGCCCGUUCCACGGGUUCCGUGUCGGAGCUAACGCGUUAAGCAUCCCGCCUGGGGAGUACGGCCGCAAGGCUAAAACUCAAAGAAAUUGACGGGGGCCCGCACAAGCGGCGGAGCAUGCGGAUUAAUUCGAUGCAACGCGAAGAACCUUACCUGGGCUUGACAUGUUCCCGACGGUCGUAGAGAUACGGCUUCCCUUCGGGGCGGGUUCACAGGUGGUGCAUGGUCGUCGUCAGCUCGUGUCGUGAGAUGUUGGGUUAAGUCCCGCAACGAGCGCAACCCUCGCCCCGUGUUGCCAGCGGAUUAUGCCGGGAACUCACGGGGGACCGCCGGGGUUAACUCGGAGGAAGGUGGGGAUGACGUCAGAUCAUCAUGCCCCUUACGUCCAGGGCUUCACGCAUGCUACAAUGGCCGGUACAACGGGAUGCGACGCGGCGACGUGGAGCGGAUCCCUGAAAACCGGUCUCAGUUCGGAUCGCAGUCUGCAACUCGACUGCGUGAAGGCGGAGUCGCUAGUAAUCGCGAAUCAGCAACGUCGCGGUGAAUGCGUUCCC
Molecule: ribosomal RNA, 1012 nt
Filed under: uncultured bacterium
Lineage: Bacteria
Description: bacterial SSU rRNA
Rfam family: Bacterial small subunit ribosomal RNA
Source: RNAcentral